CAACUAUUCACUAUAUUCAGUAUAAUAAAUUAUUGCAUUUUUAGCUGAAUAUUGAAUGGAUACGAGUUUAACUUUGCUUGCUUAUGACCUAUGCCAUAUGCGUGAAUCACCUGAGCUGCACAAGGGGUUUCUUGAAGCCUUACUGUGAUGAUACCAGAGUGUGUUCUUUCAAAUAUUUCAAAAGUGUAAAUCUGUUUACUAAACAAACAAUAUUGUCAGUAUUGUUCUUAAUGACAUUUUGAUCAUCCGGUCUUUGUAGACUGAAUAUUUUGUGACCACUUCCGAAUACACUAAAACGACGGUAACUCCGAAAAUGAACAUUUCAAUAUUGUUUAGUGUCUUUCGAGUGUCGACCUUUAGCCAUCGUGAGGAAAGAUCAAGGUUACAUUAGUUUAACCGUUGGUAACUUUAUACUUUAAUAUCCAUUCACUUGUAUAUAAAGAACGUAACAUGACUUUAGGACAGUCCGUUGGUCUGAACAUACAUGUGAAGAAGGUUUUGAAAUAAAAUCGAAAUAUAUAAUCAUGCAUAAAAAAAUUUGUCUUAAAUUUGAUGAAUAUCUUGGAUUUUCAAGAUGCAUGGAAUUUGCUUUAUCUUGUUUUUUUUACACUGUUGGCAGGAAAUGGAUUUUGGGAUCAUAGAAUUAGCUACAAUCCCAACAAGCAUAAGCACGUGCUGUAAGCGUGCACCAUGAAGGGAAACAACGUGGUACUCAGAGAAAACCUGGAACAAUCAAACUGAAAGAAUUCUUCUCACGUGCAAGCGAUGUUACAUGAACGAUUGUCCUACGAAUAGCUCCUCCAACAACACUCUUAUUUUGAUAUAAUUGCAUGUUCACACAAAAUUUCUAGAAUGCAGAGCGUAGUCCAUUUGGUCCACGUGAGAAGUGCUUCAAAGCACAACACAGAAUCAAAUCUUGACAAUGUUCGAAUGACGUCAUGUUUUGACGAAGUAAACACUUGGAGGAUUUGAGUUGGUUCACACGCGAUAAGGAGCACUCCAGACAACUAGUGUCUUCGUAUGUCAACCAGAGCUCAGGUUUCUCACGCAAAACGAUAUUUAUAGUUCGUGAAACUUUCCAUACGAGCCUUGAAUCACCAGAAUUAGUAACUUAGCUGUCAAUUUGUAAGAGGCAGACUUUAUAAAUAACUUUCUUUCUUUUGUCUACUGUCUAAAACAGGUUUUCAAACAAGACAUUCGCUUUCUCCAAAGAUUCUGUUUUCUGUCCUUAUUUUCAACUCGGAACAGUGGUUCGAUUCGUGCAGUAUAAAAUACAGUUUCCUUUAUGUCAGGAUAAGAUACGAAUGUGUUUGUCAUUUAUUAUUCACUCUGAUUACAUUUCAGCAACGAUAGCAAUCCCGCGAGCGGCCAUCACAAAGAUAACUUUUCAAAAGAAAUCAGGAAUUUGACGUAGUCUCAUAUGAAUACAGAUGACCAGUUUCAGCUGCAGUUGCAAUCACUCACAUGGUAAUUUUUACCAACAAAUAAAGAACGGGACCAUGCCAUAUGAUAAUUUUUACCAACAGGCACCAUGGGCAGAAUUUUAUUACUUUCCAAUAGGACGGAAGUCGCCAGGGUUUUAGACUGAUUAAAACUAAUAGGAAAUAUUAAUAAAUAAAGAACGCCAAGAAUUGUAAUUUACUGAAUGAAAACAAAUAGGAAAUUAAAACAUACUUGAUAUGUUUUGAAUUUAAGAAUUUAAUAUAGUUAUUUUAUUCACCAGCG
RNAcentral lists this long non-coding RNA (1725 nucleotides) under Paramuricea clavata. The record is from RNAcentral. Lineage: Eukaryota; Metazoa; Cnidaria; Anthozoa; Malacalcyonacea; Plexauridae.